GUUCCUACUAUAUAUUGAAGUCAUCCAGAGAAAGCAGAAAACUGCAUUUAUUCUUGGUUUUGAGGAAUUUGAGAAAGCAUGGAUAGAGAAGUGAACAAAUCAUGCUAUCUGAGCAAGGUGUGGAUUAAAAUGACCCUGACAUAAGACAGGGACAGCGGAAUCCAUUUCAGCAGCCCAGAGGCCCUGUUAAGGACUAUUAUAUAAAGAUGUCGGCACAACCUCUUGUGCUCUUGCCUCCUGCCACAAGAACAUAUGUCCCAGAAAAGGGCCACUCCAUCAGCCUAGGUCCAGAAAUGAGAGGACACAUGGACUGAACUUGAAGAUGGCCCACAGCAGACCUGCAGUCAACUCUCAGCCUUUAUGUAAUGCGGGAAAGAAGGAAAUGUGAAUAUUAUAGACUACUAAAAUUCUAAAGUUGUAACAUAGCAAAAUGAUCGAUACAAUUAGCAGUGGCAAUCAGUCUAGCAUAUUGUCAUGCUAUAUGCAUGCUAUAAAACUAUUGAACAAAAAUAUCACUAUCCUAUCAUGGACACAUUGGACUUUUCUUUUCUCCUUAUGACUGCAUCACGUGUGAUGAUCAGAAAUGGAGUGAAGACAGAAAAAUAAGAAAAUUCAAGAAUGUGCUACAGAGUGAUCCUCUCCCUCUUAGAGCACCCACAGAAACCACUCAUGGCUUCUCUGUCUGCAUCCUCUCCACACAAACAUAUUCUUUAAGAUUUGCAGUGAAUGAAUGGCUGGAUUCAUGGUGUUCUUUUAAAUAGGAAAAAUUCUUGGUGAACUCAUAAAAGCUACUUUGGCUGAAGGAAACCAGACUAGGCACGUGCAUCUCAGGUUGAAGGAAGACAGGCCAUAAGGGAACUCCUUUCCAAAGAGGAAAAGGAUAGGAAUCAAGACCACGUGAAUGUCCUGUAUAACAGAAAAAGACAAAGUUGAAAAAUCAAGUAUUGUCCCUCUCUUGGGAUGGAACCCCAAGGAGAAGCAUAAUAAAAACAUCCAGAGAGUUUGAAGAAGCCAGAGAGCAACGGGUGAGUCCAUGGCACACCUCCAAGUCUAGCUUGUGUGCCUAUGGGGAGGGAGUGGCAGGAGAAUCCCCACGUUUAGCCAUAGCCAUCUGGUGCAGGAGCAAUAUUACGGCAGUGGGAAGGAAUAGUUAUAGGAGCUGGAGGUGGUGCCCAUGGCUCUUUCAUAGCCUAGCCAGUUCCUACAAAAGCCCAAAAUUCUCCCUCUGUCUCAAUUGCAGGAUAGGACCUGCACAGUUACCUAAAGUGCUGGGAAAGCAAGAGAGGUUUGAAAUUAGGUUAAAACAGCUUCAACACAUAAUGACUUCAUGACCAACUGAAACCACAAUAUCCAGUAGUGAAUGCAGCCCUCAGAGAAGGCCCAGCAGUCGACAAGGCCCAAUAGCAGGAUGAAAGGUUCUGGACCUUCCCACCUCCCCACACUGUCACAAGAUCAUUAGGCCCUAGAUGCCACCUUAGCAAGGCACAGGGGAAAGAGGGGAAAUGUGAAAACUUACCAUCUACGUAAGAUAACAGUCAUUCAAAAGACCAUUUCAAUCAAAGGAGACUAGGUUACAUUGAUUCAACAAGCUAAGUUUCUCCUCUAUAUAGAGUGAUUAUUAUAGGAAAGGAUGGAGCUGGGGAGGUUAGACUGGGAAUAAAUGUAUUCAUUAUUUAAUAAGCAAACAAAACAAGACUCACAAAUUCUAUUUUUAUGUACAAGCCUUAGAACAAAUCUUGUUCCUGAGUAUAA
Molecule: long non-coding RNA, 1752 nt
Filed under: Homo sapiens (human)
Lineage: Eukaryota; Metazoa; Chordata; Mammalia; Primates; Hominidae
Description: HSALNT0137821
Source: RNAcentral